This 531-nucleotide ribosomal RNA is filed under the name Triticum aestivum (bread wheat). Its description in RNAcentral is "partial small subunit ribosomal RNA". Lineage: Eukaryota; Viridiplantae; Streptophyta; Magnoliopsida; Poales; Poaceae. The record is from RNAcentral.
AUGAUCGAAAAUAAUAAAGGAGAAAAAACGAAUGUGGAUCUCAACACCGUGUCGCCAAGGAAGAGGCCUUGGUUCGAGAAGAUGCAGGCCGACAUGCUCAAGUUCGAUGACGAAUCAUAUGGCCAGGCGGUGCCAGGGCUGCCGGGCGCAUUAUGCCCUGCUAGCAGAGAAGCGGAGGAGGCAGCCGGGGGCCAUGGGUUCCGGCCGCGUCGGCCGACUGAUGGCGGGCGCGAAGUCGUCGGUUCUGCUGACGUGAAGCCGUGGGACGACGAGACCGACAUGGCCAAGCUCGAGGAAGCCGUGCGAGGCGUCGCCAUGGAAGGAUUGACAUGGGGGGAGCAUGCAUCCAAGCUUGUUCCGGUUGGGUACGGGAUGAGCAAGAUGCAGAUCAUGCUGACGAUCGUCGACGAUCUCCUGUCCGUCGACGACCUCAUCGAGGACCAUCUCUGUGCUGAGCCCGUCGACGAGUUCGUGCAGAGCUGCGACAUUGCCAGCUUCAACAAAAUAUGUACUCCCUCUGUUUCUUUUUAG